UACGUAGGUGGCAAGCGUUGUCCGGAUUUACUGGGCGUAAAGAGCGCGCAGGCGGUCUUGUAAGUCGAGUGUGAAAGCCCCUGGCUCAACCAGGGAGGGUCAUUUGAUACUGCUUGACUCGAAGGCAGGAGAGGGAAGUGGAAUUCCGGGUGUAGUGGUGAAAUGCGUAGAUAUCCGGAGGAACACCAGUGGCGAAGGCGACUUUCUGGCCUGUUCUUGACGCUGAGGCGCGAAAGCUAGGGGAGCAAACGGG
RNAcentral lists this ribosomal RNA (253 nucleotides) under uncultured bacterium. RNAcentral describes it as "partial 16S ribosomal RNA". It matches the Rfam family "Bacterial small subunit ribosomal RNA", at positions 524 to 776 of the family's 1533-position model. The record is from RNAcentral.